RNAcentral lists this long non-coding RNA (2394 nucleotides) under Rattus norvegicus (Norway rat). RNAcentral's name for it is "long non-coding RNA NONRATT010153". Lineage: Eukaryota; Metazoa; Chordata; Mammalia; Rodentia; Muridae. The record is from RNAcentral.
CAACAAAUAAAACCUGAAUUUCACUGACUGCUCAGGAGUUGGCCUGGACGACAUGAGUAUCCCAAAUAUCUCCAUGGAUUCCACCAAUUUCCUACCAAGGGACACAUAAUCUGCAAGAAACAAAGGAUGGAAAUCCUGAGAAACGAAAACUGCUUUCAAACAGCACCCCAGCUGGGAACAAAACAAAAAGCAAAAGACUGAACACGUCAAAUCAACAGCAGACAACUUGAUUUUAUACAUGGAAUAAUCAAAGAAAGUCCUCUCUCACUUCCUCUUUGCCCCGUGGAAUUUUUCUUGGAGUUUCCCUUCUCCUUGUUUGCCGUUUUUUGUUCAAUGGUAGCAAGUGCCAAUUACGGCCAAUCCCUGUCAAUCCUGGGAGGUUUAUAUUCGUACAUAGUGUGGUAUAUUUCAAUGUAUUUUAAUUCAUUUUGCAAUUUCUGUAUAUGCAAACCUGGCAAAUUCUGUAAAUUGCUUAUAGUACGUGUGAUGUGACUUCAAGGUAGAUAGGCUAUGAUGCUCAUGCAAGCUGACUUUCUUCAUCCUAUAUACAAAUAUAUACAUGAGCAUAUAUUAGGCUACCAACUUCUUUUCCCAAAGCCUUUGUUUUUUCAUUUGUAACUCAUGUAUUGUGUGAAUUUUGUAGCGUAUUUCUCUGUCCCACUGAUUUGACAGCUACAGUUUGUCUCCGUUGUCCUUCCUUCUGGAAAUAUUUAAAAUUGUGUAUGUCUCUGAUAAAUGAGUUAAUUUUUGCUCUGUGUAUGCUAUGUUGGAAUUUGCUGUGUUCUUUUACACAUGUAUUUAUUAAGGUCUAGGGAUCUUGAGUCUGAGGAAUGCACACCUAGUUUUUGACAGAUCCCCUCGUGUUAUCAAUAUUCUAUCUCAGAGAAAAAGAAAGGCCAAGUGUGAGAGCUAAGAAGACAUUUUGACUCCCCAAGAUCCUGGAAGAGCACUUCACGCUCUGACUAAAUAAUGCUGCUUCCUUUGUUCUUCAAGACUUUUUUUCAUAGCUUUGUCAUUCUGUUAUUUGCUGCUAAUUAUAUUUUAAUGUCUACUAAUUAAAAAUUAAAAUGUGAUUGUUGGCUGAAUACAAUAUGCAAAUGACUGCAAAGCCCAUACUGAAGAAGAUAGGUGUUUAAUCUUCACUCAAUAAUUAUAAUUUUAAAUAUUCCAUCGUUAUUUUUUGACUUUAUGAUAUUUUGUUUAGGCCUGUUCUAAUUACAUCUUUCUCUGGCAAAGAAAGAUAGAACAAUCAAUGAAUUCCCUCUUAGUAUGGAAGGGUUGUGGCUUAAGAAAGAACACAUCCAGAUAGUCUUCCAGAGAUAAUAAUUUAUUUUCAUUAUAAAACCAGAAACCAUAUAUGUAGGAAUGGUCCACUCCCAAUGUAAGGCCCUAAAUUGUAGCUUGAAGGAAAUGAAUUUAUUUGCUUUUUUAUGGUAAACGACUGGACUCUGCCAUGCACUUAUAAGCAAUGUGAAUAUUUUCAUAAAGUUCUUGACAUUCUCCUUUAAGAAAUAUUGUUUUAUGCUAAAUCUUUCCUUGCCAUUUUUCUUGUUUCAUUUGAUUCAUUGUUUCAUUCUAAUAAAGAAAAUAAAGGUUUAAUUAUACUUUAUUAACAUACAAAUGUAUUUUCAUUCUAAAGAUAUUUAGAUAUUUCUAAAUAUCUGAAAGUUGUAUAAAAUGAUGAUGGAUAAAUAUUAUCUGUUCAGUCUCUUUAAGCUUUAAAAAUCCCAUACAUUACAGUAUAUAUUAGUAUACUGAUUUAAAGUCAAUCAAACUGGGAAAACACAUCUUGUAUUAUACUUUUACUCAAUGUCCAGGUAAUGGUAUCAGCUAAUUUUACAGCAAGUCAAACUUGUACCCUUAUCAUAAAUGUUCACCAUGCUUGUAAUAAAAGGACAUAUGCUAGUUUGGGAAGAAUGCUCACUAGAUUCAUUGUAUCAGUGUCCAAAAUAAUAAAGACCUGUUUAUCACUGUGUGACCAAAGUCCACCCUACCCUCCACUUUGUUAAAAGAAUAUAGCAAACUAUCUGUUUGCUCCAAACUCCAAAAGAGUAUGGAACUUUAAAUAUCAGAGCAGAAAAUACAGCAGAUCAAUGAGAUAUUCUAAACAUUUGUAUACUAUACUCUAUUCCUUUGGGAAUAUAACUUUGUGUGUAUCCAUGAGUAUGGAAAAGAAUAGAAAAUACAAACAAAAAGUAUCUGGCUUUUGCAACCUUGUUUCCAAGUUUAUAUAGUAUCUUUUAUAAGAGAGACUUAUAAAAAGCUGGAAUUGCUUUCUUUGUUUCUUAAAGACUUGUAGACAGUUUAAAAGACAAAGGAGGCAAAUAAAAAUGCUCCUGAACAAAGUAAGGUGGUAGAAUUCUUGAAAAUAGAAGCUAUGAUUUGUUAGACUUC